This 406-nucleotide ribosomal RNA is filed under the name uncultured bacterium. Its description in RNAcentral is "bacterial SSU rRNA". It matches the Rfam family "Bacterial small subunit ribosomal RNA", at positions 976 to 1381 of the family's 1533-position model. The record is from RNAcentral.
UACUCUUGACAUCCAGAGAACUUUCCAGAGAUGGAUUGGUGCCUUCGGGAACUCUGAGACAGGUGCUGCAUGGCUGUCGUCAGCUCGUGUUGUGAAAUGUUGGGUUAAGUCCCGUAACGAGCGCAACCCUUAUCCUUAUUUGCCAGCGAGUAAUGUCGGGAACUCUAAGGAGACUGCCGGUGACAAACCGGAGGAAGGUGGGGAUGACGUCAAGUCAUCAUGGCCCUUACGAGUAGGGCUACACACGUGCUACAAUGGCCGGUACAGAGGGCUGCAAACUCGCGAGAGUAAGCUAAUCUCACAAAACCGGUCGUAGUCCGGAUCGCAGUCUGCAACUCGACUGCGUGAAGUCGGAAUCGCUAGUAAUCGUGAAUCAGAAUGUCACGGUGAAUACGUUCCCGGGCCU